Long non-coding RNA from Sarcophilus harrisii (Tasmanian devil), 1066 nucleotides. RefSeq lists it as uncharacterized. The record is from RefSeq and is a predicted model, not a curated record. The transcript has 4 exons. Lineage: Eukaryota; Metazoa; Chordata; Mammalia; Dasyuromorphia; Dasyuridae.
GGGGUCUAGGAGCUGCUGCCACUCUCAGGGUUCCUGUGCCUUUAGAACAAUUGGUGGCAGUUGGUCGGCAGUUGGUGGUGCUGGUGGUGAUAAAGAAGCUUAGCCUUCCUCUCCAUGAUGAUUUCUCCCACUGGUGAUGGCUAUGGGGGCUGGGCUAGAAGCAUCUGAUGACACCCUACUGCCUCCAAGCUUCAGGGAAUUCCCAGUCUGAUGAGCAGGAGUGACAAGAAGAGGUGUCAAGGAUGAGGGAGAUACCAGCUUGGACCUCAAGGACUUUAGAAACUGGAAUGCUUGAAGGAAGGAGAAGGCACAAGAGAACCCUCUAUUACUGCAAAACAUGUGAAGAAAAGGUCAUAAGUUUGGGGAUCCUUCUCCUGAGAGCUGGAAGAGUCCUUAGAAAUCUCCUAAUCCAGUUCCCCCUCAUUCAAUGAGUGAGCUGCUGAGGCCUAAAGAAAUAAAAGUGGUGAUGUGCCUCCACCCCAGGAACAGCCUCAGAAGGUAAAUAAACAUUAUCACAUCCUUGUUCUAUGGUAAAGCCUCCAAAUGUUACAUACUGUACCAAUUGUGAUUCUCAUCUGAAUUAAAUAGGAACACAAAAACAGAAAAUGAUUGUGUGUGAAUAAACAUCCGAAAGACUACCAACAGCUGAUCUGGGCUGAGGCGUCAAAACAAAGCUAUUAUUGUAGAAGACGGACAACUCCAGAACAAAAUCUGAAAAAAGGGGGCACAGAGCGUGCUGUAGCACAUGCUAAGUCAUUCUACCAAACCAAAGCAACUUUGGGGUGCAAUUUAAACUGGGCAAGUCUAUUCAGCUGAAGUAGUUAAAACCUGGAUAGAAAGAAGUCACUGCCAUAACAGCACUGUGCAGUUUUAUUAACCAUUCAAGUACAGUAGUAUCUGGAAAGACCGGGACAAAGGUCAGGUUUCAAAAGUGAACAGACAGAUAUAUUCAGCAUCUAACAGUUGGAAAGAAGCAUACUACAGAUUCCUUUCACAAACAUGUUUUCACAGAGCCAAUACAGUACUAGCCAUUAACCCAGCACCGAGCAUACUGGAAUAGAAAAGA